Octopus sinensis (East Asian common octopus) is the source of this 98-nucleotide long non-coding RNA. RefSeq lists it as uncharacterized. The record is from RefSeq and is a predicted model, not a curated record. The transcript is spliced from 3 exons. NCBI's taxonomy places the organism in Eukaryota, Metazoa, Mollusca, Cephalopoda, Octopoda, Octopodidae.
UUACAUUUUACUGUAUUGAGUACAUUAUUUAUUCAGAGGUAUUUCACUUAUUUCGGGUUUAUACCCUCAAUUAAUAUUAUUAUUAGUAGUAGUAGUAA